Long non-coding RNA from Lutra lutra (Eurasian river otter), 158 nucleotides. RefSeq lists it as uncharacterized. NCBI's taxonomy places the organism in Eukaryota, Metazoa, Chordata, Mammalia, Carnivora, Mustelidae. The transcript has 3 exons. The record is from RefSeq and is a predicted model, not a curated record.
CUGAGCUAGACAUCUUUAGAAAUGGGAGGUACAGGCAUGGCCCUACUGACCUCUCCCAGGCUCCUCCAGGAAACACAACUCUAAGGGCUGGAUCAGAAUUACACUGGAUGGGGGUGCCUGGGUGGCUCAGUGGGUUAAAGCCUCUGCCUUUGGCUCAG